Molecule: transfer RNA, 62 nt
Filed under: Peuceptyelus minutus
Lineage: Eukaryota; Metazoa; Arthropoda; Insecta; Hemiptera; Aphrophoridae
Description: tRNA-Ala
Source: RNAcentral
UAGGAUUAUAUUUAAUUAUAAUAAUUAAUUUGCAAUUAAUAGGUACUGAGUCAGUUAAUCUU